This 130-nucleotide small nucleolar RNA is filed under the name Stegastes partitus (bicolor damselfish). Its description in RNAcentral is "Small nucleolar RNA SNORA71 (ENSSPAG00000001173.1)". It matches the Rfam family "Small nucleolar RNA SNORA71". From Rfam's summary of the family: The members of this family belong to the H/ACA class of snoRNAs which bind a number of proteins (including dyskerin, Gar1p and Nop10p) to form snoRNP complexes. This class of snoRNAs are thought to guide the sites of modification of uridines to pseudouridines by forming direct base pairing interactions with substrate RNAs. This family includes U71 (SNORA71), ACA39 (SNORA39) and ACA60 (SNORA60). Lineage: Eukaryota; Metazoa; Chordata; Actinopteri; Pomacentridae. The record is from Rfam by way of RNAcentral.
CCCUGUAUCGAAAGGUGAUCAUGGCGUCUUGUAGCCUGGUCAUUUAAAAAAUACAGGAACAUGAACGUGGGAGCCUUUCCCUGUGUUUGCAGGACUGUCGCUUCCUGUCAGACCUCGGCGCUCUCAGACA